RNAcentral lists this non-coding RNA (20 nucleotides) under Rattus norvegicus (Norway rat). The record is from RNAcentral. Lineage: Eukaryota; Metazoa; Chordata; Mammalia; Rodentia; Muridae.
UGCUCUUUUGACCUGUUGGA